Molecule: ribosomal RNA, 999 nt
Filed under: uncultured organism
Description: bacterial SSU rRNA
Rfam family: Bacterial small subunit ribosomal RNA
Source: RNAcentral
GGGGAAUAUUGCACAAUGGAGGAAACUCUGAUGCAGCGAUGCCGCGUGAGGGAAGAAGGUUUUAGGAUUGUAAACCUCUGUCUUCAGGGACGAAAAAAGGACGGUACCUGAGGAGGAAGCUCCGGCUAACUACGUGCCAGCAGCCGCGGUAAUACGUAGGGAGCGAGCGUUGUCCGGAAUUACUGGGUGUAAAGGGAGCGUAGGCGGGAUCGCAAGUCAGAUGUGAAAACUAUGGGCCUAACCCAUAAACUGCAUUUGAAACUGUGGUUCUUGAGUGAAGUAGAGGUAAGCGGAAUUCCUAGUGUAGCGGUGAAAUGCGUAGAUAUUAGGAGGAACAUCAGUGGUGAAGGCGGCUUACUGGGCUUUAACUGACGCUGAGGCUCGAAAGCGUGGGGAGCAAACAGGAUUAGAUACCCUGGUAGUCCACGCCGUAAACGAUGAUUACUAGGUGUGGGGGGACUGACCCCUUCCGUGCCGCAGCAAACGCAAUAAGUAAUCCACCUGGGGAGUACGACCGCAAGGUUGAAACUCAAAGGAAUUGACGGGGGCCCGCACAAGCAGUGGAGUAUGUGGAUUAAUUCGAAGCAACGCGAAGAACCUUACCAGGUCUUGACAUCGUAUGCAUAGCUCAGAGAUGAGUGAAAUCUCUUCGGAGACAUAUAGACAGGUGGUGCAUGGUUGUCGUCAGCUCGUGUCGUGAGAUGUUGGGUUAAGUCCCGCAACGAGCGCAACCCUUACUGUUAGUUGCUACGCAAGAGCACUCUAGCAGGACUGCCGUUGACAAAACGGAGGAAGGUGGGGAUGACGUCAAAUCAUCAUGCCCCUUAUGACCUGGGCCUCACACGUACUACAAUGGCUGUAAACAGAGGGAAGCAAAGCCGCGAGGUAGAGCGAACCCCUAAAAGCAGUCUUAGUUCGGAUUGUAGGCUGCAACCCGCCUACAUGAAGUCGGAAUUGCUAGUAAUCGCAGAUCAGCAUGCUGCGGUGAAUACGUUCCCG